GUGUCAGCAGCCGCGGUAAGACAGAGGUGGCGAGCGUUGUUCGGAAUUACUGGGCUUAAAGGGCGAGUAGGCGGUGGAGCAAGUCUGAGGUGGAAUCUUAGGGCUUAACCCUAAAACUGCCUUAGAAACUGUUUUACUUGAGUCAGUGAGGGGAGGGCGGAAUUCCUGGUGUAGCGGUGAAAUGCGUAGAUAUCAGGAGGAAGGCCUGUGGCGAAGGCGGCCCUCUGGCACUGUACUGACGCUGAGGCGCGAAAGCGUGGGGAGCAAACAGGAUUAGAAACCCCCGUAGUCC
Molecule: ribosomal RNA, 292 nt
Filed under: uncultured bacterium
Lineage: Bacteria
Description: partial 16S ribosomal RNA
Rfam family: Bacterial small subunit ribosomal RNA
Source: RNAcentral